Molecule: transfer RNA, 19 nt
Filed under: Crotaphytus nebrius
Lineage: Eukaryota; Metazoa; Chordata; Lepidosauria; Squamata; Crotaphytidae
Description: partial tRNA-Gln
Source: RNAcentral
UAAUUCAACUACAAAAACA